This is a long non-coding RNA of Homo sapiens (human), 3180 nucleotides long. NCBI's taxonomy places the organism in Eukaryota, Metazoa, Chordata, Mammalia, Primates, Hominidae. The record is from Ensembl.
ACUCAGGAGGCUGAGGUGGGAGAAUCACUUGACUUGAUGUCGAGGCUGCAGUGAGCUGAGAUCGCACCACUCCUAGAUGAUAAGAGUGAGAGCCUGUCUCAAAACAAAGAAAAGAAAGAAAGAACGAAAGAGAAGAAAAUACAGGUAUUACGGCCUAGACAUUCUUUCAGAUGCCAGAGGAUGCUAUAGAAAAAUGCGUGCCCUCUUGUAAUACUUUGUUCAAGUUCUGAUCAGAAGGAUGAAUGAUGGAGCCCAAGAAGCCAGGUUAAUCCUCAUUACUUACAAAUUCCCUACUUGUGAAGUUGUCUACUUGGUAAAACUUUUUGUAAUACAAAAAUCAAUUUUGUGGAUAUAAACAGAUAAGUCCGGUGUAGUAAAAAAUGUGAAUUGUCCAACAAGCACAUUUCCAGCUGAGUUCAAAGUGAUGUCUUGCCUUCUUUUUUCAGCUCACAAACAAUAAACAAGUGUCCUUUUGUGAUCUAUUUAGUGCCAUACUUUAGGCAUUUUUUUUUUUGCUUCUUCUUGGUGAUUUCACUGCUUAAAAUGUCCCCCAAGGAUAUUGCUAAACUGUGGCCCUUUUUUCUAAACACAGGAAGACAAAAGAAUGUGCCUUAUGGAGAAAAUACAUGUGUUAGCUUAACUUCUUUCUAGAAUGAGCUACAGGGCUGUAGACAUAAGGUCAAUGUUUAUAAAUCAACAAUAUAUAUUAAAUAAGUUGUCUUUAGACAGAGACAUACAAAAAAAUAAGGUCAUGUAUUGCAUUAAUCAGUUGAUAAAAAUAUUGUAACCAGAGGCUUGAGGGACCAUAACCUGUAUUUCCCAUAGGAACAAUGGUUCAAUAUUGACUGAUUCUGUGUUUGCAGCAAAUUUAUAGAAUGUAUCAGCCACUAAUAAUAAAAAUCAGUUGUAUAUAAUUUAUAUUUCUCAAUUCUCUGCCAACUUGCCAAUAUAACAACUCCAACUAGUGCUAUAGUAUUUUUUUACAUUGACCUAAUCUUGCACUUCCCAACUCAUUUUAAGAUUGAGUUAAUGUCUGACUUCCAAACCCUUCUAGGACAAUUUGUAAUGGCUUGUUGAAAUCCUGUUUUUCUAUAGUGUAGUUGUAAAUCAUGACAGAUUUUAAGUUCACUAAAUAUUUGACUUCAGCAGCAUCCAAAUAUGUUUCUACUAUUUGAUAAAGAGGAACAUGUUCUAAUUCUCAUCACUGAGGUACAUGGAACAAAGUUAAUAUACUCUGUUAAAACAUGCCUUUCACUAAACUGGAAAUUUAGAAACUGAAAAUGUUAAGGAAAUAGAAUGGUGGGAAAGUAGAUUUCAUGAAUUGACUCAAGCAUAAGAAAACUUUUCACUGUCCUGUGUUUUAGAUGCAGGCCGCUCCCCAUCUUCUGGCCAUGUUAACACCUUUGGACCUAUGGCUGUUUAUCUCCAUUAGAUUACAUAAAAUGGUAUAAAGCACACUAUACUACAGUGUUCUAUACAAAUUACAUGCUUUUGGAAUGCUUUUUUCUUAUUAACUAUUAAUAUACAAAUGUAUUUUACAGUUUGAUCCUUGGAAUUUUUUUUCUGGCUUAUUUAUUUUAUUCAGAUGUAUUCAUUUAAAGCAUUAGGAAAGAUUUUCAAGAGAUGGAUACAGAGGUGAACAGCACAACUUAAAUAGCCAAAAUAUUUACUCAUGUGAAAUUAUGAAUUGUUAAUUAACAGAAGCAACUGUCAAAAUCAUGAAACACUAUUUCUACCAUUUAUUUUUAUUGCUAGAGUACAGGAAAAACUCAUGUCUGUUAAUCAUUCAGCUUUAGACAAUAACCAAGCUUUCAUAUACUGUGUUUGAUGAUGAAUCUACUAAUGCCAACUUCCUUUUUUUCUUACAAACUUCCUAAAAGAAGCAAAGCAGUUUAGAUAGCAAGUCGAUUAAAUCAAUUAAAUUAAAAAUUGAUAUUUUUAUUUUAUUUAAACGUAAACUUUUUUGUGAACUAUAAAAUGAAAUAUAUUUAAUAGUAAAAAGGAGGCAUUAAAUGGUUUUGGCUAUUGUUAAAUGACUCGUAGGUUAAAUUUCUAUCAGAAUUUUAGAUAACUUACAUUUUAAUCUCAGAAUUUACUUUGGCUUUUAUGAUUUUAUGAGUCAAAGUGCAGAUGCCCAGUUUAUUUAUUGGAAUAUUUGCUGCAUUUGUAAUAUGAAAGGUCAUUAGGAAUGACUCAACACCACAAAGCACAGUUAAGAUUCUAAAACUGGGAAAUGACAACUUAUUAUUUUUACACCAGCAUUAAAGCCAAUUCUCUUUUUAUUUCAUAAUAGAAGUAAAAUCCAAUAAUGAAGUCAAUAGAAACAAUGGUAGUCAGGGUUGAUAUUUAUAUUUUUAUUCUAAUGUGUGUUUUAUCAAUUAAUAACUUUUUCUCUUUCAAACAAGAACUCAAAAAAUAAAUUCCUAGCCUAAAGAAGUUCAAAGAUUUCUGAUUUUAAUAUCAUAUAUUUUAUUUGACUCAUCAAUGUCCAUGUAACCUCAGACAAGAAGAAUGUGGACAGCAUAAUAAUUGUAAACCAUUUGCUACUGCAUGAUCAGAAACAGACACAUAAACAAAUUCUGGCCAAACGCAUUAACGGAAGUGAGAGGGUUUCUCUAAAAUCAUCUCUUCAUAUCUAAAUAAGAACCAUAGCAAAAUUAAGCUCUUCACAUCCUCUGAAUCAGUUUUGCAUUUUAUGGACUAGCUGAAAUGGCUGUAGCCAAAUUGCCACCAUCUUUUAAGAAAAGCCAAUGUCAAGGCUGGAGCAGGAGAGAAGGGGACCUGCUGUUAAUGACAAUGCUGAGCCAUUGACUCCACCCAUGCUGAAGACUGCUCAAAGGCUAGAAGUUGUGCUAUUAUAUAUGCAAGAUUCUUAUUGUCUAGGUAUUUAGGCUGGAAUCCAGUGGCAUGAUCUCGGCUCAGUGCAACCUCCGCCUCCUGGGUUCAAGCAGUUCUCCUAGAUCAGCAUCAGCGUCCCGAGUAGCUGGGAUUACAGGCACCCGCCACCAUGCCUGGCUAAUGUUGGUCAGGCUGGCUCGAACUCCUGACCUCAAGAGAUCCACCUGCUUUGGCCUCCCAAAGUGCUCGGAUUACAGGCAUGAGCUGCCACACCCAGCCUCCAAAUACUUUUUUUUUAAAUCAAAAUAAUGAUUUCAAUGACUGAGAUCUGUUAUGUAUUUC